Molecule: transfer RNA, 88 nt
Organism: Dichomitus squalens LYAD-421 SS1
Lineage: Eukaryota; Fungi; Basidiomycota; Agaricomycetes; Polyporales; Polyporaceae
Rfam family: tRNA
About the family: Transfer RNA (tRNA) molecules are approximately 80 nucleotides in length. Their secondary structure includes four short double-helical elements and three loops (D, anti-codon, and T loops).
Source: Rfam
CCUUCGAUAGCUCAGUUGGAAGAGCGUGAGACUGUAACUGGAAAACUUGGGCAUCUCAAGGUCACUGGUUCGAUCCCGGUUCGAAGGA